GCAGUCUGCAACUCGACUGCAUGAAGCUGGAAUCGCUAGUAAUCGCGAAUCAGAAUGUCGCGGUGAAUACGUUCCCGGGUCUUGUACACACCGCCCGUCACACCAUGGGAGCCGGCAACGCCCGAAGUCAGUGGCCUAACCGAGAGGGAGGAGCUGCCGAAGGCGGGGCUGGUAACUGGGGUGAAGUCGUAACAAGGUAUC
Molecule: ribosomal RNA, 201 nt
Filed under: uncultured bacterium
Lineage: Bacteria
Description: partial 16S ribosomal RNA
Rfam family: Bacterial small subunit ribosomal RNA
Source: RNAcentral